CAAUUCACUUACUCAUUUGUUGAGGGCUUUCCUGUUAAUUUUUCCUGGCCAAGAGCCAUAAAUCCACUUGCUGAGUUUGCAAGCCGGAUGGGCAUUGUGCGUGCGUUCCCAGCUGCACUGACCGGAGUCAUGGCAUCGAGUGGGGCGGAUUGCCUCAGGUAGAAACCGCAGCCUCCAGCACAGCUUGCGAUACGGCUCCAUGAGGAACUGCCGUGCGUGAUGACAGAUUGUAUCACUGCACCUGAUGAAGUGAUGGUCACGGAAACAGCCAGGAGCAGCCCGGCAUCGCUUUGCUUUGCACGGCGCCUGCGGGCCGGUAGAUGGCCCCAGAGGAAAAGGCUUGGUGCUGAGCGGCCCGGCCUUCACAUGCUCGCCAUGUGACCGAGAGCUCCGCAGCAUGGAGGAAGCACACAGUGAGAUGACUUCUAAAGCAGCAACUCCAAAUCUGUGUAUUUCUGUAGCCCUUGAAGUGCCACCACAUUUCAUCUCUGGGACAGAGGAGGUUUUCAGGCAGUGCCCAACCUGGACAUUGCCUGACAUGCAUGCAGCUGCCGGCCCAGCUGGGAUGGGCAUUGGAGCAGAAUAGAGCAACCUCUGCAGAUGUUUCUCCUGGAGCAAAGCGAGAGCAGCUUCCUGNNNNNNNNNNNNNNNNNNNNNNNNNNNNNNNAUGGAAACCCACCCGACCUGUGCUGAUGGUGAAGCUUUGGGCUCCUUUGAUGUUGGAAACGGAAGGAAGACGUUGCCUAAAUAACUUAUGCGAAGCCAACAUGAGAAGAAGCAAUGCAAGGAGAAGGACGUGUUGGGAGAAAAGGUGCAUGUCAGAGAUGGGGGACUGCCUGUGA
This 842-nucleotide long non-coding RNA is filed under the name Chrysolophus pictus (golden pheasant). Its description in RNAcentral is "lncRNA (ENSCPIG00010010120.1)". The record is from RNAcentral. Lineage: Eukaryota; Metazoa; Chordata; Aves; Galliformes; Phasianidae.